ACUCUCUACCCUGUUACCUGGAACCUGUACUCAACUGCCUGGCCUCCUCCUCCUUCUGAGAUUGUUGACUUUUUGGCCUAACCCUUUUGAAUAAGUUUGCCUGUUUGGGCUGCCUAGGAGUGUCAGCAGCUUGACCUUUCUCACCUGAGCUGUCCAGGCUAUCAAAGCUGUUCCAUGUGCUCCCUCAUCUCUCCCUUCCUACAGCUGGCAUUCACCCUGCAUCAUCGCCUCAUGGUUUUGCACCACAACACCUCCACAGACGUCCAUGCACUGCUUUCAUUGCUGAUCUACCCACCUAAUUGUUUGUUUUGUGCCAACCUUAUUCCAAAACAAAUUUUCAAGGAAACAAGACCAUCCAUAGUGUCUACAAGUCUCAGGAAGGCCUGCAGCAGUGUAACAUCUCUGGAGCUGGAGAAUCACUGGGAAGCUGGCUGGCUGUCAGAGUAUUCCCACCAACAGCACUAGAGCCACCAAGAAAACACUGACAGCAGUGCAGAGCAGCAGAGGGAGGUGAAGGCCACGAUGAGGCUCUUCACCAGCUGCUGGAAAGAAGAAAAUGGCAUUCUUUAUUUUACAGGGUCCUGUUGACGUUGACCAGGAAGCAGCACAUGUUUUAACAUCACCUCCGAUCCUCCUCACCACUCUCCAUCCAGUCAGUCCCUCCAGA
Epinephelus lanceolatus (giant grouper) is the source of this 667-nucleotide long non-coding RNA. RefSeq lists it as uncharacterized. The record is from RefSeq and is a predicted model, not a curated record. Lineage: Eukaryota; Metazoa; Chordata; Actinopteri; Perciformes; Serranidae.